This 855-nucleotide long non-coding RNA is filed under the name Physcomitrium patens. RNAcentral's name for it is "long non-coding RNA (PPAT_LNC005702)". The record is from RNAcentral. Lineage: Eukaryota; Viridiplantae; Streptophyta; Bryopsida; Funariales; Funariaceae.
AUAACAAAAUAAGAUAUACAAAGAACUACCUACAAGAUUUGAGCUUUGAGAAACUGCUGAAGACAGGCUACGACAAAUAAAAAGCAAAUCACAAUGUCUGAUUUCACAUCUAAAAGCUUUGAUGUAAUUUCUUCAAUGUUAAUAGCAUUCGAAAAAAUCAAUAAAGUCAAUGUUCUCUAAGUUUGUUUUUGAAAAAUCAAUGUUGUUCUUAUCCUCGUCCUUAUAAAACUGCACGUUUUUCAAAAGCAAUAUGUCGCUCUCAUGUUAUUUUUUCUACAUUCAUCGCUAAUCUCAUCAAUUUAUACCAUUCCAACUGGACGUUUAUUUUCUUGCCUUCUCGCACAAAUAAGUCUCUGAUCAUCUAAUUAAUAGCCUUAUCUCAGUUGUCAUGCAUCUAAUGAUGUUAAUUUCAAGAAUUUAGGAUAAUAACCAAAAAUCCGCCUCAGAAACGACAGUGUGCAUUGCAAGCGCCCACUUGAAUAUACUCCAUUCAAUGUGCUUGUUCGUAAUAGCAGCAGAUGCGGCAGUCAGGAGUCAAAUGGAUGAUAUAAAUGAAACAAACUAGGGGUAAUGAUUGUGUAUUUAACAACAAUGUUGUAUCUGUACCAAAAAACACAAAAUUUUAGUUAGAUCAAAUCUACUCAAUAAUUUUUUAAGUACCCAUUAUUUCCAAAAGACACAAACAAAAACAAAAUUAAAAAUAAAAUCAUGAAAAAUCCUACCUACAAGAAAUCCUACCCCAUACGCUACAAGCCUUUGAGCUUCAAGAAACGACUCCUUACUCUUUUUGUUACUCCAAUCAACCAAGAAUUUCAACUUUUGUUUGCUAAAUCUCCUUGUUAAUAAUGUAGUUUC